Molecule: long non-coding RNA, 299 nt
Organism: Manis pentadactyla (Chinese pangolin)
Lineage: Eukaryota; Metazoa; Chordata; Mammalia; Pholidota; Manidae
Exons: 4
Source: RefSeq, a predicted model, not a curated record
GCAGAGAUAAUGCUCUGGGAGAAGGAUUCUGCAGCAGUCCUCAAAGGCUAGACUUGGGUAUCGCUGCAUAAGCGCUGAUUCUUCAGCUUGUCUCUAACCGAGGAAGCUGACUGGGAACUACUCAUUCAGAAAAUUAAAAGAAAGAAGCCAGAACUCGUUAUCAACCCUUUGAGAACACAGCAUAACGGACUUCCUUUACUACUUCCUUGAAUAGGAGAGGUCACAGGGCAUUAAAGAAUGGCAGAUGAUCGGAAAGAUGAAGCAAAGGUGCCUCACUGGACCUCAGCUCAACUAACAGG